Molecule: ribosomal RNA, 468 nt
Filed under: uncultured bacterium
Lineage: Bacteria
Description: partial 16S ribosomal RNA
Rfam family: Bacterial small subunit ribosomal RNA
Source: RNAcentral
GACGAACGCUGGCGGCGUGCUUAACACAUGCAAGUCGAACGGAAAGGCCCUGCUUUUGUGGGGUGCUCGAGUGGCGAACGGGUGAGUAACACGUGAGUAACCUGCCCUUGACUUUGGGAUAACUUCAGGAAACUGGGGCUAAUACCGGAUAGGAGCUCCUGCUGCAUGGUGGGGGUUGGAAAGUUUCGGCGGUUGGGGAUGGACUCGCGGCUUAUCAGCUUGUUGGUGGGGUAGUGGCUUACCAAGGCUUUGACGGGUAGCCGGCCUGAGAGGGUGACCGGCCACAUUGGGACUGAGAUACGGCCCAGACUCCUACGGGAGGCAGCAGUGGGGAAUAUUGCACAAUGGGCGGAAGCCUGAUGCAGCAACGCCGCGUGCGGGAUGACGGCCUUCGGGUUGUAAACCGCUUUCGCCUGUGACGAAGCGUGGGUGACGGUAAUGGGUAUAGAAGCACCGGCUAACUACGUG